RNAcentral lists this long non-coding RNA (464 nucleotides) under Apteryx rowi (Okarito brown kiwi). RNAcentral's name for it is "lncRNA (ENSARWG00000011182.1)". Lineage: Eukaryota; Metazoa; Chordata; Aves; Apterygiformes; Apterygidae. The record is from RNAcentral.
CUGCUUCUCACUAGUUUUCUUGAUUCUUUCUGCAGCCUCCAGUAGCGUGUGAAUGCUGUGAAUGACUUCUCCUGGAAGACCUCAAGCAUCUUGCCAUAGGGAUGAAAAAUUCUUUUUCCCCUCUCUCCCCUCCUUGUUCAUCUAAGUAACAGAGAAAUACCUACACUGAAUGAUGAAUCUUCUACAAGUCUUAGAGACAUCAGCUUCAGUAUAUGCAAAUAAAGAUUCUGUUUUUAAAAGGGUCUCUUUGUGUACACACCAUCAUCAUCCUAAUAGCUCCUCGGUCAGUGUGCUGCAUCUCUGCAUUUGCAUAAAAGCUGAGGCUGACAAUAAAGUUUCCAGUUAGUGCCAAAUGAGUCGGUGUUUUUUGUAAUGUUAAACACUUCUCCAGUGCGCUGAGACCACGCAUCUCAUUUCAUGUGGGAUAGUGAACAAUUAACAUCUUUCAGCCACUUAGCCACCAG